UGUUUUCCUAAUUUUUCUCUCCCUUUCUCUUCCACUGCUUGGCUCUCAGUUAAAGCAUAGCGACAACUACUACGGGCUCACUUAUGUCAGCAAAUUAGAUGGACCAUAUGAUGCCAAACAAAUAAUGUAGAAUGUUGCAAAUUCAUCCCUUGGCUAUGCUCUAUAAUGGCGGGCUCCAAUAUUUUUGUCAAACUGGAAAAGAAGGUUUAUGACUGCAAAGCUUUAACAGUCGAAUUUCAAAAGGGUGCUUCCUUUUUUAUCUUGUAAAUGAGGUUUUUCAUGAAAGCCAAAGAAUGUAUAAUUUUGCAACUACUCAAUAUUACAGUAGAUAUUUCAUAAUCUAUUGGAUAUAGAGUUGAGUUUUGUUCCUCAUUCAUGUAGAUAUUGUGAAGUAUUAAACCAUGAAAUGAUCUCGAUAUUGAAAAUUUUCAGCAAUAUUGUAACUGUGUGAAUAUUACAAAUAAUGAUAUUGAAUAUACGCCCGUGCUGUGCACGGGCACGGGCCAUCUAGUACUA
Lycium ferocissimum is the source of this 516-nucleotide long non-coding RNA. RefSeq lists it as uncharacterized. The transcript is spliced from 3 exons. Lineage: Eukaryota; Viridiplantae; Streptophyta; Magnoliopsida; Solanales; Solanaceae. The record is from RefSeq and is a predicted model, not a curated record.